CCAGGUAGGUACACUGGCCGGAUACUGCGGAUUUAUAUUUAAUCCCUUUUGGCAUUAGGUAAUAAAUUCUCCUUGACUUUGAUCUGCGUGCGUGCCAUGUAUUAUAUAUAUAUGUAUAUGAAUAAAAGAUAAUUGUGUUAGCAGGCACUGCAGCGUAUGCAGCAGCGAGUUUUUAAUGUUAUUUAGUCUGGAGGGCAUUUUAAUCAAAACAUAUUAUACCCGUUGCUGCAGUAGUGAUGUUGUAUACAAAACCACGCCGAAAAUGUAUAGGUGCAAAACCCGUCCCUAGGGAAUACGAUUCGGUUGCGUGUCUUGUAUACACGGUA
Molecule: non-coding RNA, 326 nt
Organism: Cinara cedri
Lineage: Eukaryota; Metazoa; Arthropoda; Insecta; Hemiptera; Aphididae
Source: the annotation of a GenBank genome assembly